This 30017-nucleotide long non-coding RNA is filed under the name Triticum aestivum (bread wheat). RNAcentral's name for it is "long non-coding RNA (TAES_LNC011299)". The stretch from base 18258 to 18344 matches the Rfam family "MIR1120/MIR1122 microRNA precursor family". The record is from RNAcentral. Lineage: Eukaryota; Viridiplantae; Streptophyta; Magnoliopsida; Poales; Poaceae.
AGAGCUCUGUCCCUAGUGAUCCUUUUCCAAGGUCCACGAAUGUAUCAACUCAAUAAGACAAGCCAUCUCAGAAAUCUAUAAUGCUCAAUCCAAUGUUUUUCCCAUUAAAUAUCAAAUAAAAUUAUGCUGAAGAUACCAUCAUACUAACUUUUUCAUCUGCGAAUAUGGAUUGUUCUUGUUAUUAAGAACAUUUACAUUUCUUUUUUCCACUUGACCUACCCAUCAUAAUUAGUUUUAUGAUUUUAUCAGAAAUGCAAGCUAUAUUAUCUGACUAAAUGUGUAGAUGCAUACCUAAAUAUUAAUUGAGCAUAUGAAGCCAGCAUUUGCAACUAUGAAGUGAAUCUGGUUAGUUGAUUUAUGUGCAAGUAGAAGCACCAGCCAUGUGGCUUCCACCUGGCUUGUCCCAUGCAUGAUAAGUGAGAUCCACAAAAUAAGACUAAUCAUGAAUCUUUUUUUUGCGGGAGCUAAUCAUGAAUCUUAUGGUAGGUGUAAUGCAACCGAUAACCUACCAGUUUUAUGGUAGGUCUAACAUCAUUGUUGCUAUCAUUACCACAAAAAAGUAACAUGUAACACAAACCUAAUUAACAGAACCUAACGAAUACAUGAUGGAUUGAAAUCAUACACACAUUUCCUUUUGUCAUGCCAAUAUUCAUCACAAAGCCCCAAGAGAAUAUUAUCAAUAUCGCAAAAUCUGAGAUGGAUCAAAACUUUGGUCUUUGUUUCUAUAAUUUCUAUACAUUUGAACUGUAUACUAUACACAUGGGAAUGUAUACUAUACACAUGGGAAAACUGUAUCAAGAUCGGCUCAUCCUCAAAAAGGCGGAUGCCAAUCGCAGGGAGUAGAGUGAUGUGGAGUAUUUAUGAGCUAAGAAUGUUUAAUAGAGAAACUCUGUUCUGGACUAAUUUCCUGAACAGAAUUCCUGCUCCAUCCUGAAGAUCUCCGAUGCUGCACUCUAACUCCUGCAAUUGUCCCUCCUCGCAAACAACGGCCUUCUUCUUGUAAAAUGCCUUGCAGACAAGAGACUGCUUUGGCAUUUCAAUUUUCUUCGACAAGAGAUGGAGUGUGGACUCCAGCAGAGAGAUGCAGAUCUCUCUUGCGUUGGUCAAUAGCAUGGCCAGCUUGUCCGAUGCAGCCUUCUUGGCAGUCUUCUUGAAGUGUUUCCUGGCCUUCUUCAUCAAGCGAGUAAAAGACUGGAUCUUGGCUUGAGCAGCCGCAUCAUCUCCUUUUCUUAGAGCCAGUUGCAGCUCUUGGAUGAUGACCACCAUCUCGGUGAAGGUCUCUUGCAUGGUGCUGCAGAGAUCUAAGAGCUCAACGGAGCAUCCCAUCUCUCCAUCCACCAUGUUCCUCUGCUGGGAGGAGCAAACUUGGUGGCUUGAUAGACAAAUAAUCUCUUCAAGACCAUCAUAGAUGUUUGCAAGACUCCUGAGACCAUCGCACAUCGUGCUGAUGGAACUGGAGGAAGAGAUGCUUGCUUCUAGGCUCUGGAGUUCUUGCUCAACUUGGGUCUCACUGAUGUGAGGCCUAGAAGGCAAACUUGUCGAUCUUUGGUGGAAAGCCAUAUCUGAGCUUGAAGCUUUUCUCUGUAUUGUGGUUGAAGAGAGGAGGAGCAGAAAAGAACACUUCUGGUUUGAUGUGUCUACUGCUCUUCUCAGGCCUAUUUAUACAUAAAUGUACAAGCAGUAGCAUAUGAUUGGUAGACAUGAAGAAUCACACCAUUACAUCUCCCAGAUGCUGCCUGCUAUGCCUUGAGAUCUGUGAGGAGCAUAGAGAUCGCAACACUAAAGUCGUCUCAUGUUUAGUACAUUGUUUUAUGCUACUGUCCACACAAUUGGCAGCAAGAACCAGCACCGCAGUUUAGUCUGAUGGUGGAUCUUUCUUGCAUGCUCAGGCCAUUAUUUUAUGGGUUGCUAACCUAGCAUUUAGCUGUGACAUACCUUGGUGGGCACAUUUGCAAAUCACAGGUCAAAGCCUCGAGGUCGGAGGUGGCAUGUUUAGGCCAUGGGAGCAAGAUCCACUGCACGAGAUCCAUGUUAGGGGUUCAACAUAUUAUCAUCAGGCUGUCAUGUCUGAAUUAUUAGCAGCAAACUCAUCUGCACAAGCGUGUAGUUUGGUUUCAGAUGAAGAUCAUGAGAUCGAUGAUUAUAGUGAAACGAUGAGAGAUAAGGAGCUGGUUGCUGAUUGCUGAUGAAAGGAACAGCUGGCUUAGCUUUGGAGGUUUAUCUGGUGGCACCUGCUUGAUAUGCAAAUUUUAGUUGCUUCUGCAACUGAUAUUCUAUUAAUUAUAGGGAGCGAUACUCCAGUAUAUUAUUACAAGGAGCAUGUGUUUGAGGCACAUUUCAUGUGAAUUCCAUAACAACCUCAUAGUUCUGAAAAAAGAAGAAGCAUAACAACCUCAUGCCUUCGGGUUAGCGGGCUAGCGUGUCUGAACUAUGUAUGUAAACCAACGAACUGAACAUCAUCAGAGUUGAGUAAUUUUUCCAUUUUAUACAUAGAUCCUGCAAACGCCGGAUGCCAACCACAGGGUAUUGGAUCUGAGUAUGUACCUUUAUCUAUAAGCUAUGAGUAUUCAGCAGAAAAACUCUGUUCUGGAUCAAUUUCUUGAACAGAACGUCAACUCCGCUCCCCGGAUUAACAAUGUCCGACUCAAGUGCCCGCAAUUGCUACUCUUCAGCUAUGGAAUGCGUUGAGAAAAACGAACACCCGCCAAUCUUUCGGACGACAAGUUGCUUUGACAAGAGCCACUGUGUAGAAUUGAAGCAACAAGACUGUAAUUUUCUUCGCUGUUGCAAGUAGCCUGAUCACCCUUCGGUCCUCAGUAACAGGUGUAACCGUCUUCCCGAUCUACCUGAACUGUUUUUGUGCUUUCUUUACUAAUUGGGUGUACCGUGUAUGACUGAAUAUUGACCUCAAAGCUUCAGUGUCUCCUCUUUUCAGAACCAAGCGCAGUUCUUGGACGGUGUCUACCCCAGUACGCACAUUUUGCUACCCUCAUAUAUAGUGCAGAAGUAGAAGCACUUACACACCUUGCUACCUACAGACAACUGGAAUCCUGUUAGUCUAUGUCCUGAGAGUUUGUCACCCAUCUUCAAGGCAAGUUUAUGCUGCUCUGCUGUUAUCUUAUCGUUUCAUACAUCUAUGAAUGGGUAUAUGGGCCUGUCGAACGCGUCUUGAUCAUUGGAGACAAACUCACACACAAGGAACAAUUUUCGUGUUGGAUCCAGAUAGCUUGAUCAUGCAUGCGUGUGCAUCAGCGUUACAUGAUGACUGUCCUCUCCUUGCUUUGCCGCUGGCAUAUGCUACAGCGUGUUUCAUUGUUAGUGGCAAACCCAUCUGCACCCCCAGGGUGGUUGGUGGUGUAAGGAGUCAUUGACUUCAUCAGCAUGUUGUUCCAGGCUGUGCUAUCUGGUUCUGCUAACAUCCUUUGUGGCGCUCCUAUACAAUGUAAGAAGGGGUAAGAAAGAGAUCAAAAUAUAUUACCGAAGUGUAUCUACCAUGCUUUGAUGAUGCAAAAUAUUUCCCUUUUACAAGAGAUAUUUUUGGUGUUAACAUUAAGACAUGCCAUCUCAGAAAUCUAUAAUGCUCAAUCCAGUAUUUAUCUCCUAGUAUUAAAUACAAAAUAAAAUUAUGUUGAAGAUACCAUCAUACUCAUUUUUUUCAUUUGCGAAUAUGGAUUAUUGUUUGUUACUAAGAACAUUUAGAUUUGAUUUUUCCACUUGAUCUACCCAUCAUCAAUAGUUUUAUGAUUUUAUCAGAAAUGCAAGCUUUAUCAUCUGAAUAAAUGUGUAGAUAUAUACCUAAAUAUUAAUUGAGCAUAUGAAGCCAGCAUUUGCAACUAUGAAGUGAAUCUGGCUAGUUGAUUUAUGUGCAAGUACAACCAUCAACCAUGUGGCUUCCACCUGGCGUGUCCCAUGCAUGAUAAGUGAGAUCCACAAAAUAAGGCUAAUCAUGAAUCUUAUGGUAGGUCUAAUGCAACCAAUAACCUACUAGUUUUAUGGUAGGUCUAAUAUCAUUGUUGUUAUCAUUUACCACAAAAUUGUAACUUGUAACCAAAACCCAAUUAACAGAACCUAACAGAUACAUGAUGGAUUAACAUCAUACACAUUGCUACUCCCUCCGUUCCAAAAUAGAUGACUCAAUUUUGUACUAACUUUAGGGAGUAUUUGUCAUGCAUAUAUUCAUCACAAAGCCCCAAGAGAUUAUUAUCAGUAUCGCAAAAUCUGAUAUGGAUCAAAACUUUAGUCUUUGUUUCUAUAAUUUCUGUAUGUAUACUAUACACAUGGGAAAACUGUAUCAAGAUCGGCUCAUCCUCAAAAAGGCGGAUGCCAAUCGCCGGGAGUAGAGUGAUGUGGAGUAUUUAUGAGCUAAGCAUGUUUAAAAGAGAAACUCUGUUCUGGACUAAUUUCCAGAACAGAAUUCCUGCUCCAUUCUAAAGAUCUCCAAUGCUGCACUCUAACUCCUUCAAUUGCUCCUCGCAAACAACGGCCUUCUUCUUGUAAAAUGCCUUGCAGACAAGAGACUGCUUCGGCAUUUCAAUUUGCUUCGACAAGAGAUGGAGUGUGGACUCCAGCAGAGAGAUGCAGAUCUCUCUUGCGUUGGUCAAUAGCAUGACCAUCUUGUUGGAUGCAGCCUUCUUGGCAGUCUUCUUGAAAUGUUUCCUGGCCUUCUUCGCCAAGCGAGCAAAAGACUGGAUCUUGGCUUGAGCAGCUGCAUCAUCUCCUUUUCUUAGAGCCACUUGCAGCUCUUGGAUGAUGACCACCAUCUCGGCGAAGAUCUCUUGCAUGGCGCUGCAGAGAUCUAGUAGCUCGAGAGAAACUUCCAUUUCUCCAUCCAACAUGUUCCUCUGCUGGGAGGAGAAAACUUGGUGGCUUGGUAGGCAAAUAAUCUCUUCAAGACCAUCGUAGAUGUUUGCAAGACUCCUGAGACCAUCGCACAUCGUGCUGAUGGAAUUGGAGGAAGAGAUGCUUGCUUCUAGGCCGUGGAGCUCUUGCUCGACUUGGGUCUCACUGACGUGAGGCCUAGAAGGCAAACUUAUCGAUCUUUCGUGGAAAGACAUAUCUGAGCUUGAAGCUUUUCUCUAUAUAUAUUGUGGUUGAUGAAGAGUUGAAGAAAAGAACACUUCUUGGUUUGAUGUCUCUACUGCUCUGCUGAGGCCUAUUUAUACAGAAAUGAACAAGCAGCAGCAUUUGAUUGGUAGACAUGAAGAAUCAUGCAAUUACAUCUCCGAGAUGCUGUCUGCUAUGCCUUGAGAUUUUUUAAGCACAAGCAUAGAGAUUGGAACCCUAAAGUCGUCUCAUGUUUAGUACAUUGAUUUAUGUGUCCACUGUCCCUAAGAUAGGCCAUCACAUUAUUAUGUUCCAGCAAUUGGCAACAAGAACCAGCAGUCCAGUUUAGUCUGAUGGUGGAUCUUGGCAUAAUUGCUUACCAAAGCCAUUAUUUAAUGGAUUGCUAACCUAGCAUUUUUUGCUGCGGAGUGCCUGUAUUUAAUCAGGUGUUUGCUUUGGUGGGCACCCUUGCGAAUAACAAGUUAAAGCUUCGAUGAUCGGAGCUGGCAUGUUUAGGCCAUGGAAACAAGAUCCAUGUUAGUGGUUCAGCGUGUUACCCACAAUUUCAUAUCUGGCAAGAAACGAGUUUUUGUUGUGUGCUUGUGUGCCGUGUCCACCCUAUUUUUUCUGAUGUUUUCGUACAACCUUAUUUUUGGUGAAGUUUGGAAUAAACAUAUAAAGCAUUGGUUGUUCUUUGUGUUCUAGGAAUUAAUAUACGGAAAAGAACAAAGAAUUUGCACACUGGCAAGUUUGGAUUAGGUCUUGCUCAGAUUAUUGUUAAUUCUGUAGAGUAAAUGUUUUUUGUUAUUAUUUUGCCUUACAUGCUUAGAUGAUAUAGAUGUCGACAAUGUUAAAAUUUGAGCACAAAUUUGGACUUUGUUGUAUGAAACCAGAAAUAUAAUUAAUUGUAGUGCCAGACUGCACAACCAUGUGGUGGUGGCACUGGAGAAUCUGAAUAAUAAAACUGAUUGAUUCUGCAAACUAAUACAAGUAGGGACCGUGUGACUUUGAUCUGGCUUGUUUCAUGCAUAAGGGACAAGAUCCACUAACCAAGGUUAUCAAAAUUAAGUAUACUGGGAUCACAAGCACAUCUUCAAGUAUGAAAUGGUCAAAUGGAUCAAAACUUUUGUUUCUCUUGCUAUAGUAUCAUGUGCAUUUCUAUUGUAUAGUGUAUAUAUACAUAGGGGAAAAUUGUAUGAAGAUCAGCUAUUCCUUAAAAGGCGGAUGCCAAUCGAAGGGUGUCAAGAGUGUCCUGGAAGUAUCUAUGAGCUAAGGAUGUUGAGUAGAGAAACUCUGCUCUGGACAAAUUUCCUGAACAGAUGUCCUGCUCCGCUCUCAAGAUCUCCGAUACUGCACUCUAACCCCAACAAUUGCUCCUCCUUGCAAACAACUGACUUCUUUUUGUGAAAUGCCUUGGAAACAAGAGACUGUUUAGGCAUUUUAAUUUGCUUCGACAAGAGAUGGAGUGUGGACUCCAGCAGAGAGACAGAGAUCUCUCUGGCCUUGGCCAAGAGCAUGACCGUCCCGCAAUCUGCCGAAAUCUACUUCGUGGUCUUCUUGAAAUGAUUCUUGGCCUUCUUCGCCAAGUGGGUGUAAGAUUGGAUACUGGCUUGAGCAGCCGCAUCAUCCCCUUUCCUUAGAGACAGUUGCAGCUCUUGGAUGAUGGCCUUCAUCUCGGCGAAGAUCUCUUGCAUGGUGCCACAUAGAUCUAGCAGCUCGAGAGAACCGUCCAUUUCUUCAUCCAACACCGUCCUCUGCUGGUAGGCACAGACUUGGCUGCUUGGAAGGCAGAUGAUCUCUUCGACGCCAUUAUAGAUGUCUCCAAGCCUCCUCAGACCCUCGCACAUCAUGCCGAUGGUCGUGGAGGAACAGAUGCUUGCCUCUAGGCUCAACAUCUGUUCUUCAAUCUCGGUCUCGGUGGGGUGAGGCCUAGAAGGCAAACUUAUCGAUAUUAGGUGGAAAGCCAUGUCUGAUCUUGAAGCUUUUCUCUAUUUUGUGGUCGAGGAGAGGAGCAGAAAAGAAGAGCUUAUAGCUUGAUGUUUCUACCAUUCUGCUGACGCCUAUUUAUACAGAAGGUAUGUUUACAGCUGUAUUGUAGCAUCUGAGUGGUAGAUCUCCCAGAUGCUGUCUGCUGUGCCUUGAGAUCUGCCAGAAGCAUAGAGAUCAAAACACUAAAGUCGUCUCAUGUCUGCUACAUUUUUUUAUUGUGUCUGGUGUCCUCGAGAAGAACCAUCACAUUGUCAUGUUCCACUUAUUGGCAGCAAUGACAAAUUAAGAGGGGCAUAGUUUGGUGGUGGAUCUUGACAUAAUUGCACGCUGAAGCUAUUAUCUAGUGGAAUGCUGCUGGCUACUGGCAUGUUCUUCAUUUAAUCGGCUAUUUUUUCUUUUGAUGGAUACUCGUGAUAACACGGCCGGUGCCUCAUAAUUUGGAGCUGGCAUUUUCAUGUAUCGGAAAACAAGAUCCAAUGCGCCUUUUAUUUUGUUCAACAUUGUGUCCCCAUCUUUUCAGUUAUAUCGUAUCAAAUAAUGACAUAAACGAGGUUUUGAAUUGUGCCCCUGCUCACAAAUCUCUUUUCAAUGUUUUUCAUGCGAUGCUAGGUUAGACUAAUUGAUUCUCAAACAUCAUUGUGGGUGAAGUUUGCCAUCCUAAUAGAUUGUUUUCCUUUUUCAGGUUAUUUCUGUUGCUAGCCAAAUUGUUCAGUUCUACGAUUGAGAGGUUGAAGCUUUCUGCCAGUAUACCAUGUCUCGUAAUAAUUUGUAAUGUUGGCACAAACAUAGUUACAUAAUAACUUGUUGAGCUCUGUAAUCGUUUUCUUUCCUGCCCGUUUGGGUGUGUGUACUGUGUCUCUUCUACCUUCUCAAUGGAAUGAAACACCAGGCUUUUGCGUUUUCUGAACCAAAAAAAAUGGUAGAAUAUGUUCCAUAUUUUGAAGUUAGUGUUUUACACAAUCGGGUCAUUAGUACUCCCUCCGUUCCGAUUUACUCGUCGUGGUUUUAGUUCAAAUUUGAACUAAAACCACGAUGAGUAAAUCUGAACGGAGGGAGUAUGAUGCAGUACAAUCUAGAACACACUUUAAAAUUCUUCACCAUGUAAAGAAAUGGAGUAAUCUCCAAUGGGUUAGCUUGGGAGGCCAAAUUUCUACAAUAUUACAUUGUUUUACAGUCUGUUUAAAGGAUGGUCAUUCCUUUCUUCUCUUCUCUUCUGUUUAAAGGAUGGUCAUAAGCACCUGAAAGAGGAUCAAUCGCCCCAACCCCCCGACACCCCGAGCCGCUCCCGCGAGCGUCCUCGGGGGAAACCCUAGCGCGCCGCCCCUCGUCCUCCCUCAUCGACCUCUCCCCCUGCCGCCACCGCACAGCGCCGCCGGGCAAAGUCCGGCCGGCAUUGGUGGCGGCGGGGAUCUUGCCCCUCUCCUCGCGGUUGGCAUCCGGCGCAAGACGGUGCUGGGCUGUGCGGGGCCCGGCGGCGCGGCGGCAGGCGUGCUGGGUGGCGGUGGUGCAGCGGCGGCUUGGGGCCCCUUCGACGCGCGGCGGUUGCGGAUUCUCUAGCGGUGACGCGCGCGCCGGCCCUGUCCAGAUCUGACAGAUUUGGCUCCGGUGGCCUGAUGCGCGGCGGGGGCAGCGUGCUGCUUGGGUCACGGGCGUCUUGCUCUGCCAUGGCCGCGUCUCGCGGAGCUGGAGGCGUGGCGGCGGAAAUGGUUGGUGCGUGUCCAGGCGGGCGGGUGGCCGCAGGCUCGCAUGCUCGACCCUGUGAUGGCGCGGGCCAUGGACGGCUUGGGCCACGUGCGGCCCCCCUGCAGUGGUAGGUGGUGGCGGUGGCACGGUGGUGGUGGUGGUUCGCGCUGGUGGUGGCGCUGGCGGCGGUGUGGGCUUCGUCCGGCGGCCGUUGGCGGCGAGGGUGGUGGCGCUGGCUCGGGGCUGCCCCUCAGGGUCCCGGCAUGGAUGUGGGCUGCCACGGCGUGGUGGUGGCCCAUCGUGGGUGGUCUGGGUUGUUUCACGGCAGCGGCUGGACUUCUUCGGCGUCUGCCUGUCGGUGAGCACCCUUGACGACCUUUGAUUCAUCUCCCCGUCGUUCGGGCGCUACCUUUAUCGGAGGGUUGGCCCUCUCCUAGUGGCGGCCCAUCGCUCGUCUCGUGCCCGGCAGCAGGACCGAGCUCGUCUCGCGCCCGGCAGCAGGACCGAGCUCAUCUCGCGCCCGGCAGCAGGAUCUGACUCGUCUCACGCUCGGCAGCAGGACCGAGAUCGUCUCGUGCCCGGCGGCAGGACAAGUCGAUGGUGGCCAGUUUUGGCCGACCUAUUGGGUCUUGUCACUGGGACAGCCCAGGGGUGCGAAAGGCGGUUCGUUUCCACUCGUCUCUUUGGUUGGGGUAGCGGCGGGUGGCGGGUGAGGUGGCAUUAAGGUCCUGGAUGCCGAGGCGGCGGCCCUGGUGGUGGUGUUGCGGUGAUCUUGGGCAAAGCCCGUGGCUUGGUGCUGCCUGGUGGCCAUGGCCGUGUGGGCGGCGUGGUAGCCAGGGUGUGAUGUUCGGUGGCGGUGAAUAUUGACCGCGGUGAAAACCUGUUCUAUCUUUGGACGGACCGGCGGCGGCGAAACUCGUUCCCUUCUUGAAGGCGUCGUCGCGGCUCUCACUGUCCGUCAUGUUGCUCCAGGGGAAACUCUGAUCUUUGGGUCAGGCGGUGGCGGUGCUUCGGUGUCGUAACCUUCCUGUAGGCACCGCCUUGGAGCCCACGGUUCGUCGUAUGUAGCUUUCUCUCUUUGCGAUGGCGUGUUCACGGUUGAGGCCCCCGGUUGCUCAUGUAGUGCUAGGGGUGGUGUUGCUGCGCUCAGGGCCUAUGUAUCAUGUCUUGGGUGUGUGCGUGUUCUGGUGGCGUGCGUUGCACCGGGUUGUUGAUGAUCUUUGCUUUAUAUAUAAAGCGGGCCGAAAGCCUUUUUGGGUAAAGGAUGGUCAUUACUCGGCUGAAAUGGCGGCAGUUAGAAGAUUGGAGUAUUUGUUACAUUAUGUGUCUGGCGAAUACUCCCAGCAAGAAAUUAGGGCAUUUGCAAUUGCAUAUUAACUGCAGUCUAGGGGUGCGCGAGAAAGUGAAUUAGUGAUGUAUAUGUAGCAUAUAUACUGACAGAAUGUAAAAUGAAACCAAAUAAAUGGAAGAUCUCAUAGUAGCGAAAUCAACAUGUUUCUUAGACAAAAAAAUCAUGCUAUUUCGUAAGUGGAAUCGUACUUUUGUUGCACUACAAGCACCCAGGAUUGUUUUUAGUCAUAAAGAGUGGGUGUGUAGUGUUGGGAGGCGAUGCCGGACCAAUCCCAACACGGAAGUAUCAAAACAACUUAUAUAAACUAAAAUCUCAAAUAUCCUUCACGUGCGCGCAUGGGGUGUGGCGGAGUAUUCUGAAAGGAGACAGAACUCAGAUUCGUACCUGGUCUCGUUCAUGGGUGGCCGACAGUCAAGUAGUCAUGCCAGUGCCAAUCUCCCUACUGAAGUUGGCAAGUUGCCGAGCUCAUGAACAGUGACUGAAACAUGGAGCGAUUCGCCAAACUUUUGCAGCAGAGGAUGUUCCAGUGGUCCUUAUCAUGCCGAUAUGUGAGCAGGGUGAAGAUUCGGUCCGGGGAACUACUUGGCACACAGAACUUGAGCGCAUAAUGUAUCCUGCACCUUGAUGAUUUGCCAGCCUUGUGACAUGAAGUUUCACCCUGUGACUGGAAGCGAAUCAGGAUGGGACCAAGUAUUGACAAGGUACAGCAGACACAAAAAUGAAGGGUUCAAGCAAAGUUGAUCCAGGAAUAGCAGUACGCUCUUUUAGGGAUUACCACAAAGCAAUAGCUAGGAGAAUCUCGGUGAGGUAGUACAUGGGUUUUGAAGGGAUUUUGUUUAUGAAUAAGUGAGCACAACUGCCCGCUAUGGCUGACCGUAUGCAUGUUUCAAAAACAACUGUUAUCAACAUCCAGUCUAGUACCUUCAGCAAAAGGAAAGUAUAGUGAUUAACAGUCGCUGAUAAGCUAUACAGGAAGAUCUUCCUAUUCGGUGUUCGUGGAAAGGAAUCAAUUGCCAUCAUUUGAAACCAAUCUCCUCAUAAAAAGAGGGUAAUGUUUCCACGUUGAAAGCAAUUCGACCAAGGCGUAACUAACAGUAACACGUGUAAAAAGCACACAUGACAAGCUCUAAAUCAUGCAUACAAAAAAAAUCCAAGUGAAUCUAGAUGCAUAUUUUUCUUUAACAAACGGAACAAUGAAUGAUGUCUAAGUUUCUUCCAUGUUAGGCAUCUCCAGCCGCGCCCCCAACAGGCCCUCCCCAGGCGAUUUUGCCGCGCCGGCAACAAAAAAAGGCCCCAGUCGCGCCCCCAGAAGACCGUUUUUCGCCGGCUCGGGCCAAAACUGGUGCCGGCGGACCCAGGCCGAAGCCGGCGCCCUGGGGGGCGCUUGGGGAGCCGGCGCAAGGGAAAAAGGCGCGUGGGCCCGCCCUGGAAGCGACCCGAGGGUCUUUUCCCGCCGUUUCUUGACACUUUUCCCUCGUAUCUCUCCCGCUCGCUCGCCUUCCUCCCGCCAUUCUAUCCCUUUCUCCCGCUCGCUCUCGCCUUCCUCCCGCCAAACCCCCUCCCGCUCGCCGCGAAGAAGCACGCCAUGCCGCCGAAGAAGUACGCCAUGCCGCGCGCGACGGCAACCGCGAGUGGCGUCGUGGCCCAGCCGAAGCCGAGGAAGCCGAGGGCGCCGCCAUCGAAGCCACUAGGCCUGUCGAACGCCGAGUGGAGGGUGGAAGUUCAGCGGCACGAAGCGGUCACCACUGACAGGCGGAACAGGGCCAUAGCCAAGAAGGCCCGCGACACCGCGGCACGCACGGCGGCGUCUUCCUCAUCGGUCGAACAGGCGGGGAUGAACCCACCCGUCGUCAGCCACGCCCAGUACGCGCCCUGGGGACAGCAAGGCGCCGGAUCUCCAUGGGGUUCAUCGUCGCCCGGCUGCUACGCCGACGGCGACGCGCACAGCGGGUUCAACCCAAACGUGACCUUCCCUCAUGGUCACCCCGCUACGCGCACGCCCUCGCCCGCCUUCGUCGGCGUGCAGUACCCUUCAUACAACUACUCGCCGCCCGCCUCCUACGCGUCCACACCGACGCCCCAUCUCUACCGCGGACCGCUACCCUUCUCGCACCUCGGCGGCACCGAUGACACGGGAGCCGACAUGGAUGACAUCAUCGCGACAGGAUCAAUCACGGCCGCCGAGUCUCUCAGGUUCGCCACCCAGGACGAGGUGGUUGACCUCAACGGCGACAUGGAGGCCGAGCUCGGCUACGUCUACGGCGACGACGCGCAGGAACCCGAGGAGGAGGAGGACGAGGAGGAGGAGGAGGAGGAACCGGCGCCUGUUCCGACGAAGGGGCGCUAGAAGAAGAAGAAGCGGGAGGCUAGGUCAGGCGAACCGCGCAUCAAGUGGACGUCCAAGGAGGAGGAAUGCCUCGCCGAAGCAUGGAAAGUCGUCUGCCUCGAUCCGACCACCGGCGCGAACCAGAGCUUGGACACAUACUGGGACCACAUCAAGGCCGAGUUCGACGAGCGGAAGCUCGUCGACCCCUACUUCAAAGGCGUGUACAUGCAGCGCGGCUCCAAGGCGAUGGCGAACCAUUGGGGGCGUAUCCAGUUGGCGUGCAACAAAUGGCAUGGAAUCGUCGAGGAGGUCGUGGCUCGCCCGGAGAGCGGCGCCAGCAUUGAGGAUCAGGUACGCAUGCCGUUCGCCCGAUAUCUUCGCCCCCUACGCCUGCCAACUGUUUGUCUCUCCGCGCAGCUGCUGCGUAUGUUCGCCAUGUAUCGGGGCGACAACCAAGACGCCGACUUCAAGCACCUCCACGUCUACAAGCGCAUUGACAAGUGCGAGAAGUGGGCGGAAGUCCGGCGUGCCCUCGACAAGGCCAAGGAGACAUACAAGCCAGACGCGACGACUCCGGGCGCGUCAGAGGGACGGCCGGACGGCCACAAGUUGGCAAAGAAGGAGAAAAGUGCCGACGCGGCAACCGCGCGAGUGCAGGAGUCCAUUGAGCAUUGCCUCGCCGACGCCCAGGCCCGGGCCGUCCUACGCGAAGAGAAGACCGAGGCGCGGUGGUUGUCGCUUAUGAAGAACAACGCCAUCAAGCUCGACCUGCUCCGGACGAACGUCGCCGCGAAGAAGAGGAACACCGACAUGGCUUUUCUGAUGAGCGGGGCGGACAUGCUCCAGAGCAACGACGAGAAGCUCAAGGCGUGGUACCUGGUGCAGCGCGGCCUCAUCCUGAACGAGCUGCCGACGGCAACGCCGACGACGCCGAUGACGCCCACGACCACACGGACGCCAAGCCCGGACGGCGCCUCUACAUCGCCGCCCAGUAGUGCCGAAGCCGCGCCGACGCAGCCCUGCGACGAAGCAGGUCCGACACCGACGAGCCCGCGCACGCCGACUCCGCCAACGCCUGGAGCCGACCAAGCCGAAUGAUUCGUUGCGCACGGCGCCCCUCUGUUUUCUGUAACGCCAGACUACGUCCGAUCGCCGGAUUUGCGGCGUCUUUUGAGAGCGGGAACGACCAAGUUUGAAUUUCCCGCGUCCUGGGGCCGGCGCGUGGGGGCGUGACUGGGAGCUAGGUCACCCCAGGGGCCGAACUAGCGCCGGCACCAGGUACCCUGGGGGGCGAUGUAGAGGCCCCGCGCCUAAAUAUUUGGUGUAUUUGCAAGCACCACCAACAACUAUAAGGGCUCUAUUUAGGCGCCCUGGGGGCCGAACGGCUGAAGAUGCCCUUAUAGUUGUUGAUGGUGCUUGCAAAUACACCAAAUAUUUCAGGUAAGUGCCACCUAUGCAACGACUUUAACCUUUUGAAUUAAAUAUGCCAUUAAAUUUGAAAAAGGUAACAGUAUGUAGUACACAUGAUAGCAACAUAUAAGAUAUGAAAAGAAAGUGUGCUGGUUUCUUAUUGUUCCUUGCACACAAUAACCAGAGACAAAUAUGCUAUUCUUCAAACCAACUCAACAAAAACCAGAAAGCGCAAAGGCAUAGUCAAGAGCUCACUGAUCAAACUAUCUAAUUUAAAAAUUAUUCAAUAAAGCCGAUGUGCUUUUAACUGCAUAUAAAACUCUAAAUUAAAUGACAGAAAUAGCACUAGAAACUACUGUAUAGUUAUUUUAACAAAAGAAAAUAGAUAGCUAAAUCUCUCCCUAAUAAUAAAGCAUGGAUUGGGUCUCCGGGUUCACCGUCACAAUACGCUUUCUUCUCAUGUCAUAAUACGCUUUUACAAUUUGUAUGGAAAAAAUUGUAAUAUACACGAGGUGGUACUAAUGAAAUCAAGUCGUGUGCGUCGAACGAUCGCACCGGCUCCCUUCCCUGCUGGGCUUGCCUGGACCCGUUUUUCUACUUGCAACGAAUCAGCGGCUGGACUAUCAAAAAAUAAAACUAUCAGAGACUCAAAUUCGAAAACGAUUGGUUUUUCCUUCAUACUACGGUGUUUUGACUGUGACCCAGUCGAGCUCCACAUCCCUCGCCGCUUCCUCAACUUAUCUCAACUGCCAGCGCGCCGGAGGAUGAGCAGAAGACGGAGUCGUUGCGGGCCGGCGAGCAGGUACUUAUCUCAACUUCCAGCGCGCCGCCACCACCUGCCGCUCCGCUGCGUGCCGCCACCACCGCCUCGCGCGCCGCCCUGGUCGCCGCCGCCGGCCUUGCAUCGCCUCAACGCCCGACCCCCGAGUCUCGCAGGCCCGCCACACACCUACUCUCUUCCAACAAUUCCGUGCAUCCCGGCUCGAUUACUUCAGGGAGGAGGAGGAUGACGACGAGGCAGAGCUGCUAGACACGGUCACACGGCCGCCUGUCCCGGGAAGAUCUGCAGCAACGGUGGCCUCUGGUGCACGCGGAUGUCUGUGGAGGCGGAAAUUUAAUUCGACCUCACCUCGGGCUGCCGGCCUCCCCAAGUUCCUGCUGCCGGCGCCCUCCCGAAGCUCCUGCUGGCCUCCUCCCUGAGCCCCAAGCACGAACAAGGUACUGUGCUGCACACCUGAAAGUCACCCAGCUACUCCUUGUAAAGCCAAAUCCCCUUUUGAAAUUGAGCAGUUGACCAAAUUAACUAGGAAACCCUUGACGGCAAGUUACUUCGGGACUGAUAGAAUCACCACAAAUUGAGAUGAGGCAUUCAAGCGGGCUGGACACACUGACACUCGAGCAGUAGGAUCCCUUGAACUGAAGAAAUGAAUAGGAAGAUACAUGCAAUUUAAGGUAGGCGCACACUAACGUCUCAGUAUCAGCACCAUAAUUUGUGUGUGUGUGUAUGAAUUUUUUAGUUUGUCUCAUGAUUGAUGCAUUCACCUUAGUACAGUAUAUCUUCUGUUUCAUGUGUUUUCUGUGUAAAAGUUGGGUCCCGAUGACCAAUAAGCAAAGAACAACCUUCUCCAACUGACAGUGUUAUUCUCCUAAACAAUUUGCCAUUUUGGUAUUUGCAUGGGGAAUAAAGAAGAACAUUCAUCAUUAGUACUUGAAGAGACUUGCCUGGUUGGGGCAGAACAGGAUCUGCUAUAGUGCAUGUUACUUGACUGCUCACUGUACGACUUCAAUAAAAUCAAGGUCUUUUCCUGAUGCAAGAAAAUGUUUUCUUGCUGCAAUGGUAAGCUAUUCUGAAUCCAUCUUAUAAUGUGGCUGCUCAUGUUUGGUGCAGACGUAGCGCAUGGCAGGGAGAUAAAGUGUUGAGAAAAAGGACGACGAUGUAAAGGGCAGAUGAUAGGGGAUUACUCAAUAAGUAUGCGGAGCUGCUAUAAAGUUUCCUCCUUUCUGUAUAGUUAUUUCACUAUCCACCUAAAUGUCAUCCCAUGUAUAUGUAGGAAACUAAUUUUGUGUUGCUAAAUUUUUUGUAUAUAUUUAAUAUUAUUCAGUGUUAAACUAAUAAUGAUCGAAACAAUGCUAGACUUACAUGUUGAUUCAUCAUUUGUAGACUUUUGGUUACAACGGAUAGAUAUGAGCAGUUUAGCACUAUUCUUGCUUAUAUAUCAAAAAAUAUUAUGAUCAGCAGGCUAAAUCUACCACACGGGUCGUUAGCUCCGUUACCGUAACAUUGCACCAUCCUAACACGCGAGGAAAAUAAUUUCACAAGAUUCUCAUAUUAAGUAUCUAUUCAAAGAGGUAUGUAACAAUGUGCGGGAAGGAGAAAUUCACUCGGUAACAACACCGAUUCUACGGCUUGCAUGCUGAGAGUUGAGACCUGGUGAGCUUACUCGUACUAUUGUGUGAUGUGUUAACUUACUUUUGUAGUUUCUAUAUGCCAACAUAUAUCAUGCUGUUUUAUGGUUAGUAGUAUUUCAACAUAAUUUUUCUAUUCAUGCAUUGAAGCAAAACUGCAGUUAGUUGCUACAGAGCUAGGAGAUCUUGGUGUAUAAUAAAAUAUAUUAGUAUGGAGGGGUUCCUUUGUCACCUGAUUUGAUAAGGUAUAUAGUACGGAAGUUUUUUUAUUUCAUAAUCAUAUUCUUGAUGUACUGUUUAACCUAUUUUCUUUUCAGAGAUUUGCCCUUCAAAUUUUCUUGUGAUAGCUAAUUGCCUUUCUGUAAAACUCUUUGUGCGGAUUAGUUGAUAUGAUCAAUGGUCAAACUGUUUGAGUUUCAAAAUCAUUUUAACAUUUCAAAUUUGGGGGUUGUAUAUAUACAACCGGAUAUCAUGUGUAUCAUGCAUAGCGAUCUACUUUGUUCUGUCUGUUAGCAUUAAUUAAUGUCUACUUCUUGAUUAUAUUUGAUAUACUUCAGAUAGUGAGCAUGAUUGUGGGGAUGGUGUGUAUGAGGAUUUUUUUCCCUUCUCCCAUUGGAACACACAGGUAUAUUUGGGUUUAUAAUAUGGGUUGUUGCCCCAGUUGCUUUUGCUUGGCGAUAAUGGCAAUGUAGUUAUCACCAUGUUUGCACCGUUCUUCACAUGCACAUCCCUAGGCUCCUUAUGUUACUGUUCACCAUCACUGUUGAUUAUUUCUCCUUCUAUUCUGUUAUCCAAUAGGUAUUCUCUUACUACAUAUAAAUUUGGAGGACAAAGCAUUUAUUCUGUUGAUAUAUUAAACCCCAAAUUGCUGACAUUUAUUCUGUUGAUAUAUUAAACCCCAAAUUGCUGACAUGUAACGUCUUCUAUCUGAAUUUGUUUCAUAAAAUUAAUCAUUGGUUUAGUUUGAUAGAUUAAACCCAAAUUAGUUUAUGGACUGAACUAGAAAUAACACAAUCACAUAUUAGUUUUCUUUUUAAAUUUCAUAGUAGAGAUUUAGCCGUCGAUGACCCACUACACGUGGAUGCCACAUCCUUUCUUCCUCACCUAUCGCGCGAAUUUUCAAUGCCGGUCCACUGCGAUCAGGGUGCUGGAGGCUCUUGGGCUUGCAGCUCGCAUGCUUGGAGGUAAGUUUUGUAGCCUUCCGUUGUAACGCACGGGCAUUUGUGCUAGUUAUCCUGAAUUGUAUACUUGUUAAAAAAACAUCAUAGCUAACAGAUCCUUUUUUAGCUUCCAUUUUUCUGUGCUCGGCCGUGUCAGGCGGAAACAAAUAUUCCCUCCGUCCCAAAAUGAGUGUCUCCCAAAAUAAGUGUCUCAACUUUAAUAUAAUUUUGUACUAAAAUUAGUACAAAGUUGAGACACAUAUUUUGGAACGGAGGGAGUAUACAGAUAGGAACUUACACGGAUUCCUUCUGUGACAAAUUGGCAGGAAAAAUACUAUACCAAUGCCUACAAAACCUACACUACUGCAUGACAGGCUCCUCAACAAAAGGCAAAUAUAUGAAUCCUCUGUUUUACGCAUACAUACUAUCAUAUUCCUAGGUUUUGCACAUUUUUCCUACCGUGUGAACCAACUGAGCCUAAAGGUGGGAGCUACACAGACCCGCCCGUCAACGGUAACGUCAUCACGCCUGGCAUGGGGAAACUUCAGUCAAGAUUGGAGGGCAGCCAAAUUUGCAUAAGAAAAUUGAAGGACAAGGUCCUCAUAAUUAAAAGGAUGCUACAUAUAUAUUUAACGGUGUAUGGCACUGGAAAGGUAGUCCACAUGCGGCUACUAAAGUAGUCCACAAACAGUAGCAGCUGGUGGUCGUGUGCCCGGCCCACUGCCCACAGACGUUUCCCUGGUUUUUCCUUUCAGACUAUCAUAUAGCAAAGUUAGCAACAACUGGUACAAUUAAGUGGAGGCUCAGAAUAAAAUAACUUGGAAAGCUAGCGCAAUGAUGGCAGUAGUGCAUGAAUGCCUUCACUAACAGGCAGGAAGAUUCAUGCCACCUACUCCCUCGGUCCCAUAAUAUAAGAACGUUUUUGACAUUAGUGUAGUGUCAAAAACGUUCUUAUAUUUUGGGACAGAAGGAGUACUUUAAUUCAGACAUGACUCGGAUGAGAUGCAUAUACCCAUGUGAUUUAAUCUAAAGGUAAUUUAGAUCUGUAUUUUUUUUCUCUAUAUAAUAUAUGGCACGAGGUCGCGCUCCUGAGCUCACAACACCCCAGCGCUAGCUAGACAGACAGAGCCAUGUUUCUUGCAAGUAAUGGCACACCCCAGCAGUAGCUUCUUCUCAUCAUCCUCCUCUACGCCGGCUGCUUCCUCCUCUCCUUGCCGCUCGAUGCUCCUGGACAUGUCGCUGCCGCAGUGUCGCCACCCAUCUCCUUCAGCUUCGACUUCACCAACUCAUCCUCGUACGACUGAUUUACUUUGUAGAGAAGCGCGGUGUAAUCUCCAGAUAGCCCAUGGAUUUUGUAGAGAAGCGCGGUGUAAUCUCCAGAUAGGCGUUGCCCCAUCCUAGGUUGGACUGAUUUACUUUUGCUGUAAAACAAUAUUUAUUUUUAGGCUUGUUGAACAUGUUGGCUAUGUGCAUCGCGCUAUGCAGAGGCCGGGCAUUCUUCGAUGCGGUUGUAUCACCUCGAUAUAUCAAUUGAAUGAAAUGUUCUUUAUCGAAAAAUAAGCGAGGGGGCAGGGGGUACCUUAGCCAAAUGCCAGGUGUAUGUGUAUAUCUCCUCUGAGAUGCGAUCACAUAUAUAUAUUAUUUAUUGAUCAUGCUAAUACACAAAGGAAAACAGUAGGUAAAUAUACUUAUAAAGCAUGUCUGAGUAGUAUGUGCAUAUGGCAGCUAAGAUACUUGAAGCAAAAUAGUAGUAACAGAAACUAUUUACAGGGCCAUGCACAACAUGAUUAUGGAUAGCAUGAAGAUAAAAGUAGGGCUGUGUUACGUGGAAAACAUGAGCACUAUCCAUAGGGCGAUACUUUGAGUAUUUAGCUUAGAAGCAUAAUCAGAUAUUUGGAUCACAUGAUGAAAUUAUUCCCAAGAAUCAGAUGAUUUUUUUAAUGGCAUUGUCUUGCUAAGGUUACUUAAACAACUACGAAAUGGGCAUCAAACCCAAUGGAAGCCAAGAUAUAAUGAUGUGAAGCUUUUCAGAACUUAACACUGAACACCUAAGGUAGAUAUCAAAUCUAUGAAUGCAAAGGAAAUACGAAAAGCAAUUUCAGUACUGGAAGUUUUGGAAAUACCAAAUAAUGCAUUCCUUGGAGAGUUGACACACACACAUAGCCAUUUAUUGUUGUACAUCAAACCUAAUGGAAGCCAAGAUAUAUUGUCCAGGGUUUAGAUUCUGGCAGUUCAUAUAUUUCAGCCUAGGCUUCAUACCUCACCAAAUAUCUAUGUUACAGAUAUGAGCAGUCUUAAGCCAAUCAAAGACAUUAUCCUUUCAGCACUCUUGCUGAGCUUAGGGUUGCAAAAUCCAAAUCAUUUCACACUUGAUAUAUGUAAGCAUUCCAUAGAGCUCAGAUUCGCCACCUGCUGGGUCAGGCACAGCUGAACAUAAGAAACAAUUAAAUUUUCAUGACAGACUAAUAAGAACCGCAAACAAUUAGAAUUUUGAAAGAGCUCGCAAAAGAGUUCACGACAAUAGGCAUCUAUAUCAUGGAUGCAGAAUUUAAUAAGAACCGCAAACAAUUAGAAUUUAAAAAGAGUUCACUGCUCAGGCUAUUAAUGAAUAAAACUAAUGUGCGUAACUCUAAACUAAAUGGCAUAAACGGUACUAAGAACUACAGUAUGACUAUUUUAACACAACAAAAUGGAUAGGUAAAAAUUAUCUUGAUUUGCACAUCUAUACUUGUUCAAAAGCAGCAUAGCUCACUGGGGCAGAUCCAUUUAUUGCUUCUAUAUUUCUGUUGUCAGUUGUGUCAACUGCAAAUAAAUAUAUAGCUAGGAAGUUUCACAGGUUCCUUCUCCAGCAAGAGGCAGAAAAACACUUCGCCGAUGACAAAUAAACCUACAUUGCAUGAUAGGCUCACAAACAAAAUGAGCCUAUCCUACAUUGCAUAAGGUCAAAUAUAGUUGAAAACCACCUGAAGCAGAUUAUGUUACUUCAAAAUCAGAGUGUCUUUCAUUGGCGGCUGAUGCUUGACAAACCUACACUGCAGGAUAGGCUCACCAACAAAGUAGCCCAAUAUUUAUAGUUGAAAACCAGCUGAAGCAGAUUAUUUUACUUGAAAAGUACAGAGAAUAGCUCACUGAUACUCUCAAUUCACGUGCUGGAAAUGGCCUGAUCUCGCACUCUCUUAGCUCCAAUACAUCUUUCAUGUGUUUUAACAGGGGAAAACUUUGACUCAUUGAUUUCAAAAGAACGAUAUCUCAUGAUUUCGAACAGUAGACCAGAUACCCAUCUUGCAUCAUUAAACACAAUCAAAACGAAGAAUUGCAUCAGUAGACACAUCAAUUUGCCACUUAUGCUAGGAUGGACAACAAGCCUAAGGUAGGUGUUAGUUUGUACAAAGACUUACAGCUUAGCUGAAAGCAACAAUUUGGUCUGAAAUUUGUAACUUGAUGAAAUUCAUUUUGUGAACUGACAGUUUUUCUGUAGAUAUGAUGAGAUUAAUUCAAGACUAGUAGAUAGAUAUUAUAAGAAUAAAUGAAUGCCAACUCCACUCAUUUAUUUCUGAAGAUUAAGGGCAGAUAUAAAUGAUAAAAAUCAGUUGUUAAUCAUACUUUAGAGCCAAAUAGGUUACUUGUUCAAUAUUUAAACUUUCCCAGAAAAGGUAUGGUAAACUACAGGAUUUAGGAAUCAAUCUUUGAAGAAUACAGGGAAAGAAAUCAGAAGACAGACAAUAAAAACAGACCCGGUAGAAAUAUAUCUUCUAGAAGCAUAAUCUAAAUAUUAUACACUGAACAAUUUUGGCAAAAAAGAUGACGAACUGAAAAAGGAACAUGCUAGACAAAAUUCGGCAUGAAAGCAUAUCACAACAAUGCAGGACAGUUCUUUUGCUUUCUGGUUUUCAGGCUCCUGGUUUCAACAGAAAAUUGGUCCCACCCACACAUGACACAUCCAUUUCUGUAAUCUUAAACAGAAGAGGGGACCAUAAACAUAUUCCUGACUUUUUAUCUUGAGAAAUUGCAGGCAAUGCUUUCUUCUCUACCAAAUGGCAUCAACUCGUGGGGCUUAAGGAAUCAACAAAUAUCCAGUUAGGCAAAGAGCAACGAAACAUAAUUUACCAGAUUACCACGCAGAGUGAAAACUUUGUAGCGCCAUAUGCUGCUACCAAUUCUCACAGCCCAUUCUUGGUUCAUAUAAAUCUGAAAUUAGUCAGCAUUUCCCCUCUGCAAGCGGCAUCAUAGUCUUCAGUGAGGUAUGGUGCAGCUUCCUUGUGAGUGUAUAUGAACUUCUCCAUGAAUAUCUUCUCGGUCAGCUUGAAAAUUACAAUAGUCUCAGUCGCGAUCUAGCAAUCCAUUUGCCUUGAGAAACUUUAUAACGCGGUACCGGGGCCUGACUCGGCCCUCCAGGAUAAGGCAAAGCAUCACCGGCCGUUGAGCAAGGUACGCCGGUUCCAUCCCCAUCUCAGAGAUAAGAAACUCCGACUUGCUCUGCAGUGUCUGAUUGGAUUUGGUCAGCAUCAGUGGGGCCUUACAAAGAGCAAUGCCCACCUCAGCAUCCGACCACCUGAACGUGUUCCUUAAGUACUCCACUUUGGCGGCGAGCUUCUCCUCACUAAGGGAUUCAACAGCCUUCAAACGCGUGCCUGAACAUCCCCGAUCCCUCGGGCCGGGACGGGCUUCGGGCCGGGCCUAGCCAAGCCCGACGUAGAAAACCUAGGCCUAGGCCCAGCCUGGCUUGGGCGUUGGGUCUAGAAAAUCAGGCUCAAGCCUGGCCCACAUGUGUAAAAGCCCGCCGGGCCUCGGGACGGGCCCCCUCGAUAAAUCGCAAAAUUGGCGGGCCCGGGCCCGGGCCGAGUGCAGCGUCGGGCCAGGCCGUUCGGGCCGGGCUGCCCAUGGCCAGGUGUAGUUGGGAGCAAUUAAUUGAGGGAGGCUCCUGUUCGGUGGGCCCACGACGCGAACUCGUGUUGUGCCGCUGUAACAGACAAAGUGUUCUGCUAACCACUACAGUUUGUAACCUCAAGUGACCCGGAAGAAUGCGAAAGGUUUAGAAACCAUUGUAUCCACGUUACUUAUUAGAUUUUUGAAUUAUUUGUAAACAAUUUUUUUAUGAAAAAGAGUUCAUAAAAUUUCAAAAAAAGUUUACGAAUUUGUAAAAACAGUUCCUUGUUUUAAAAAAAGUUCAUCAAAUUUUAAAAAAGGUUCAUCGGUUUUAAAAAAGUUCAUCAAAUUUGAAAAGAGUACAUUCGUUUUUUCUACAAAUUUAAUCAAAUUUGCAAAAACUUCAUCGAAUUUGAUAAAAGUUUAGAAAUUUUGAAAAAGUUCAUCAAAUAUGAAAAAAGUUUAUCGAAUUUGAAAAAGUUCAUCGAACUUCAAAAAAAAUUCAUCAGUUUAGCAAAAAUUCAUCGAACUUGAAAAAUGGUUCAUCGGUUUUAAAAUAAAUUCGUUCAAUUUAGCAAAAGAAAAAAACAAAUCAAAGAAAAAAAGUAAAAGAGAUAUGAAUGAAAGAUUUUUUUUUGGAAUUGUAUGAAGGAAAGAGUAAAGAUAUAAUUGUGCACCUAAGUUGAGGCCUGUGGUUAGCGCAAUGAAGAACGACCGGGAGGUUGCAAGUUCGAAUACCAUCGGACACCCCUGCGUUUUUGUGUUUUCUAUACAAACGGAAAGAAAGGGGAAAUGGGCCGAGCCCAAGUAGGCGCCGGUUCGCGAACUGGCGCCGAAGCGCCAAAUAGGUUUCACCAUUAAUUCAAGGUUAAUUCAGAAAUCCCUAUUUGACGCAUUCCGCGUCAAAAUGUCACCAUAUCACACAAAAGAUCGAGACUCGACAUUGCACCGGCCCAUUUAAGCGUUCCCGAUUUUGGAAACCCUAGAGGUUCCCAUCCGGUUUUUUAUGGUUUUGGGAAACUUCUAGAAGGUUCCUGAACCGGACUUUUCCUGUUACCUUUCUCUUCCCUUUUUCUUCUUUUUCCCUGCUUCCCUUUUUUCUUUUCUCUUCUUUUUUCCUUUUCCUUUUUAUUUUCUAUACAUUUUCCGUUUUUUGUUUCUUUAUUUCUUUCCUUUUUCCUUUUCUAUUUUAGCUUCAUUUUUAUUUUUCUUUCUCAAAUAAAGUUUCUUUUUGAAAAAAUAUUCAGAAACUUAAAAAAUCUUCACAUUUUAGAAAAACAAAUCAUUUGUCCAGAAAAAAAUUUGUUUUUAAAUUUUGUUCAUAAAUUCCAAAAAACACUAAGAAUUACAAAUUUUGUUUGCUUCAUCUCAGAAAAUGUCCGAAAAUUCAAAAUUUUCACCUUUUCAGAUUUUGUUCACAAACCAAAAAAAAUUUGCUUUCCUGUUUUAAUAUUCUUUUACAAAUUCAGAAAAUUUUCAUGUUUCAAAAUUUGUUCACAAAUUAAAAAAAAUUAGGGAAUAUAAAAAAUUGUUAACAUGUCAAAAAUGUUCUUGUUUUCAAGUUUUAUUCAAAAAUUCAGAAAACAUUCAUGUUUCAAAAUUUGUUCACAAAUUAACAAUGUUCGCAUUUUGUAAUUUUCUUCACAAAUUAAAAAUAGUUCAUGAAUUUUAAAAAUGUUCCUGGUUUCCAAAUUUGUUCACAAAUUCAUUAAAUCACCGUGUUUCAAAAUUUGUUCACAAAUUCAAAUAAUGUUUCAACUUUUAAAUUUUGUUCACAACUACAAAAAAAAUUGGAAUUACAAAAAAAAUGUUCAUAUUUUCCCAAUUUUGUUCAAAAUUCAAAAAUGCUGAAGAAAUAUAAAAAUAAGAUCUACGAAAUAAUAGAAGCUAGAAUAUACCUUGGCAUGCACACACAAAUUUGCAAGCUAUACUAAGCUGAUAAGUGUUAAUAAGUUGUACAACAUAUACAACACUUAAGACAAGUAAAAGCAAUUUGAUGAGUCAUGGCCUAUCAAAGCAAGCCACAUUACUAGUCUAAUCCAUCUUAACAGGUCACACAUGAUUACAAUCUUGUUUGUGUGCAAGUCAAGCUUAUCUAGUUUACACGUAACAACUUGUAGAACAACAAAAUUGAUGUUUGCUAAUAACUUCUAGAACACUACAACACUUGACAUGUAAAAGGAAUUUGAUGAGUCAUGGCCUACUAAAGCAAGUUACAUUACUAGUCUUAUCUAUCUUAACAGGCCACAUAAGAUUACGAACUAAGUUCUAUGCCAGCCAUGCUUAUCUAGUUUAUGCAUAACAAUUUGCAGAAAAUUACAAACUUAGUUUCAGAAAAAUAGGCAAUCUAGAUUAGUGUUUGAGCUGUAAAGUGAAUAAGAUGAGUCAUGCAUGUUAUCACACCUUUUUGGUGGUGGAAUGACAGUGCAACAAAAAGGAACUUUAAUGACUAGUCCAAGAAUAAACUUGUAAGUAGUGCCACCAAACACAACAUACCAAGUUAUGAUUUUGGGAAGCAUCCAAGCACUUUCCACACAAGAAAAUGCCAAUUGUGAAAGAGAUUAUGCCAUGGCAGCUAUAAAUAGGCCCCUAGCAUGAUGAUUAUCCUUCCUCAUUCAUCAUUCUCAUAAGCAGAGCGCAUCAUUCAAGCCAAUCAAGGAGUGGUCAAUACAAAUCCACCAUGAAGACCUUUAUCAUCCUUGCCCUCCUUGCUAUUGUGGCGACCACCGCCACAACUGCAGUUACAGUUCCAGUGCCACAAUUGCAGCCACAAAAUCCAUCUCAGCAACAACCACAAAAGCAAGUUCCAUUGGUGCAACAACAACAAUUUCUAGGGCAGCAACAACCAUUUCCACCACAACAGCCAUAUCCGCAGCCGCAACCAUUUCCAUCACAACAACCAUAUCCACAGCCACAACCAUUUCUGCCACAACUACCAUAUCCGCGUCCGCAACCAUUUCUACCACAACAACCAUAUCCACAACCGGAACCACAGUAUCCGCAACCACAACAACCAAUUUCGCAACAGCAGCAGCAGCAACAACAACAACAACAACAAAUCCUUCAACAAAUUUUGCAACAACAACUGAUUCCAUGCAGGGAUGUCAUCUUGCAACAACACAACAUAGCGCAUGCAAGCUCACAAGUUUUGCAACAAAGUACUUACCAGUUGUUGCAACAAUUGUGUUGUCAGCAGCUGUGGCAGAUCCCCGAGCAGUCGCGGUGCCAAGCCAUCCAGAAUGUUGUUCAUGCUAUUAUUCUGCAUCAACAACAACAACGACAACAACAACAACAACAACAACAACAACAACAACAACAACAACAACAACAACAACAACAACAACAACAACAACAACAACAACAACAGCAGCAACAACCGUCGAGCCAGGUCUCCUUCCAACAGCCUCAGCAACAAUAUCCAUCAGGCCAGGGCUCCUUCCAGCCAUCUCAGCAAAACCCACAGGCCCAGAGCUCUGUCCAACAUCAACAACUACCCCAAUUUGAGGAAAUAAGGAACCUAGCACUGCAGACGCUACCAGCAGUGUGCAAUGUCUACAUCCCUCCAUAUUGCUCGACCACCAUUGCGCCAUUUGGCAUCUUCGGUACUAACUGAGAAGAGAAGAACUCUAGUACUAGAUAUAUGAAACACUGUUUUCUUAGUCCAUGGUUUGGUCAUUGUAGCGGUGAGAAAAUAAAGUGACAUGCACUAUCAUGUAAGAACCCGAACUAUACUAGUUCAAACUUGGGAAUAAAAGACAAACACAGGUCUUGUCUACAUAUGGUUGUUUCUUUGUGUUCCAUUCAUGUGCCCGUUCACAAGUUCACCCCUAAUUAUAUAUAUUAUGCAUUACGUAGAUAUUUAUGUUGCAUUAAUUUACAGAUAAUAAAAUGAGUCUGAAACUUGAAUUAAAUUGAAGUAUUUUCUUGGACUUUCAAAUUGACUAUUAUUAAAGUAGUAAGGACUAUCCACAUCCUUGGCUCGCCCUUGAUCAAUUAAUUCCAGAGAAGCAUUCAAUUCAUCAAUCAAUUACAUUGAUUUUUGUGGCUCGUACUUCUCCUCAACAUGAGUAUAUUCAUUGCAGCUACUUCGAAUCGGCAUGAAUGAGGUACUGGUGCCUGGAGCAGUGCUAGCUGAUUGCCUCUAAUGUGAAGGGGCGUGGGCACAGGAGAGGUGUUUUGGGUGGGCCAGGCGAGUAAGAAGCGGGCCCAUCAGCGGUCCGGACGCCCGCAAAGCCCCGUAGUUUGUUUUCGGUUUACAGGAAAAAAACACAUCCGGACCGGCCUGCGGGCCAAUAUAGGACCGUACGUAUUGGAUGGCAAAACAUGUUCGGAUGGUUGCGAGCAGUUUGAGGGAUAGCUUUAGAGAUAGCCCUUACUUGACCCCUCGUUCCGAAAACAAUUAUGACGAUAGAUUUGCCUCGGUUCAGAAAUAUGUCAGGUUUAACAAAGUUUAUUGGAAUUUUCUUUAUCAUAUCUACAGUACCAUACAAAUACACCAUAGAAAAAGAAGCAUAUUUCAUGAUUCACCAUGAAUUGGCCAGGUAAAUGUUGGGUCUGGAGACUCUAUUCUCUUUUGGCAUGAGUUGCCUAGGUCUCAAAAGUUUCAUGAACCGUUCUCUUUUGCCAUUAAGAAAAAGCCCUCUUUGGCUGAUUUUAUUCAUAGUGAUGAUCUGACUCUCCAUUUUCAUAGGCAUACCACCCUGCAAGCUCUUGCUCAAUUCAUUGACAUCAUUGACUUAGUUCAUAAAAAAAUCAACAAAGGAAUAAAAUAAUAUCACGAAGAUACCAAUUACACCCGUCCUCUCUAUCAACAAGCUAGAUGUCCAAAGACAUCAAGGAUACACACAGCUGGAAAAAAUAAUAGAAGAAAAAAGAUCCCGCCAUGGUGAUCGAUCACUAGCAUCUGUAGCACUCUAACCACCACCAAAGACAACACCCGGAUUACCAAAAAAAUUCUCCAGAAACAACCCCCCAAGAAGGAAACAAUGCACAAGCGUUGUCAUUACCCGAUUGAAGAUCGUGGGUUUUGACCCUAGAAAAAUUUCAAGCUCACCCAAAAACAUUGCCUUCAUCAAGGCCAUUGGCAGGUACAACCAAUAAAGGCUAGACCUUGGAUUUUCACCCUAGGAAUUGAGACUCAGUACUCGAGGAGUACCACCAAAAAUGCAGUCCUCCAGUGAUGGUGCCCCCGCUUGCCGAGGCCGCUAUUUCAAGUCACCAAACACAUGGCGCACAUUCUUCAACGCAUCAAUUACACCCUUCCAGCAAAGCUUCAAGACCUCGAAUUGCAGUCGCGAUGACUUUCUCCACCUCUAUCAAUGCCUUAAGAAUCUUGACUUAGACAUGUCCCAUGACACCAAUAAGAAAUUGAAGCUUCUUGUCGCGCCCUCUUGAGGUCGUGUUGGCUAAUAAUAUGAGCGUGCGCCACCGGAGCCUUUCUGAUCUAGAUAUCCAGGGGCGACAUACACAAAUCUGUAUAGAUAUCCGAUGGGAAAGAGCAAAAUUGGUCACCGGCUAGAUCUAAGAGGUUUGGUCACCGGCUAGAUCUAAGAGGUCGACAUCCGGCAGAAAGGCAACUUGGCGGAAGAACAGUACUAGGGCCAAACCACCAUUAUUACGCUGAGGCUAUCUGUGGUGUCCAAGGCCCAAUGCACCACAUGUCUUCAAAUUGGCCACCAGUAGUAGCCCUUAGAAUAGACAGGGCCAGUUUGCAAAUUUUAAAACAUAGGUUUUUAGCACGCAUGAAAAACAUAAUACGUAUCUUUCCACACAUAAUGAACUAUAGGUACCACCCAAAAAAACAUAAUGAACUAUAGGUUGUCAUCAGAACUCAUGCCAUCCCACAGCCUCCCUCCGACCCUGCCAACAUUAUUGCAGCUGCACUCGCAAGCGUUACCGUGGAUGAUCAUUUGCAUGAUUUCACGUAAAACAAAAUAAGAGCUACAAAUGAAUAAAAGCUACACAUACCUUGGCAUACACACACAUUGCAAGCCAUACUAUGCUGCUAAGUGUUAAUAACUUGUACAACAUAUACAACAGUUAAGACAAGUAAAAGCAAUUUGAUGGGUCAUGUCUAUCAAAGCAAGCUACAUUACUACUUUAAUCUAUCUUAAAUGGGUCACACAUGAUUAUAAUCUUUUUUGUGUGCAACUAAAGCUUAUCUAGUUUACACGUAACAACUUGUACAACAUUACAAAGUUGAUGUUUGCUAAUAACUUCUAGAACACUACGGCACUUGACAUGUAAAAGGAAUUUGAUGAGUCAUGGCCUACUAAAGCAAGUUACAUUACUAGUCUCCUCUAUCUUAACAGGCCACAGAAGAUUACAAACUAGGUUUCGUGCAUGCAAUGCUUAUCUAGUUUACACCUAACAACUUGCAUAACAUUACAAACUUAGUUUGAGAAAAUUAGGUAAUCUAGAUUAGUGUUUGAGUUGUAAAGUGAAUAAGAUGAGUCAUGUGUGUUAUCAUAGAUUUUUGGUGGUGGAAUGAUAGUGCCACCAAACACAACAUAUCAAAUUAUGAUUUCAGGAAGCUUCCAAGCACUUUCUUGGCAAGCAAAUGCCAACUGUGAAGGUGAUUAUGCCAUGGUAGCUAUAAAUAGGACUGUAGCAUGAUGAUCAUCCUUCCUCAUCCAUCAUUCUCGUAAGUAGAGCGCACCAUUCAAGCCAAGCAAGCAGUGGUCAAUACAAAUCCACCAUGAAGACCUUUCUCAUCCUUGCCCUCCUUGCUAUCGCGGCGACCACCGCCACAACUGCAGUUAGAGUUCCAGUGCCACAAUUGUAGCCGCAAAAUCCAUCUCAACAACGACCACAAUAGUAAUUUCCGUUGGUGCAACAACAACAAUUUCCAGGGCAGCAACAACCAUUCCCACCACAACAGCCAUAUCCGCAGCCGCAACCGUUUCUGUCACAACAACCAUAUUCGCAACCGUAACCAUUUCCGCCACAACUACCAUAUCCACAAGCGCAACCAUUUCCAACACAACAACCAUAUCCACAACCGCAACCACAGUAUCCGCAACCACAACAACCAAUUUCGCAGCAGCAGCAGCAGCAACAACAACAACAACAACAACAACAACAACAAAUCCUUCAACAAAUUCUGCAACAACAAAUGAUUCCAUGCAGGGAUGUCGUCUUGCAACAACACAACAUUGCAUAUGCAAGCUCACAAGUAUUGCAACAAAGUAGUUACCAACUGUUGCAACAAUUAUGUUGUCAGCAGCUGUGGCAGAUCCCCGAGCAGUCGCGGCGCCAAGCCAUCCACAGUGUCGUUCAUGCUAUUAUUUUCCAUCAUCAUCAACAACAACAACCGUCGAGCCAGGUCUCCUACCAGCAGCCUCAACAACAAUAUCCAUCAAGCCAGGGCUCCUUCUAGCCAUCUCAGCUAAACCCACAGGCCCAGGGCUCUGUCCAGCCUCAACAACUGCCCCGGUUCAAGGAAAUAAGUAACCUAGCGCUGCAGAUGCUGCCAGCAAUGUGCAAUGUCUACAUCCCUCCAUAUUGCUUGAGCACCAUUGUGCCAUUUGGCAUCUUCGGUACUAACUAAUAAGAGAAGAACUCUAGUACUAGACAUAUGAAACACCGUUUUCUUAGUCCAUGGUUUGGUCGUUGUAGCGGUGAAAAAAUAAAGUGACAUGCACUAUCAUGUAAGAACCCGAACUAUACUAGUUCAAACUUGGGAAUAAAAGACAAACACAGGUCUUGUCUGCAUAUGGUUGUAUGUUUGAGUUCCAUUCAUGUGCCCGUUCACAAGUUCACCCCUAUUUAUAUACAUUAUGCA